RNAcentral lists this long non-coding RNA (657 nucleotides) under Gallus gallus (chicken). RNAcentral describes it as "lncRNA (ENSGALG00010023029.1)". Lineage: Eukaryota; Metazoa; Chordata; Aves; Galliformes; Phasianidae. The record is from RNAcentral.
GUGGGCUCUGGCCUAAGACAAUUAAAAAUCUGGAACAUGAAUUACGACCUGGAGCAUUCUGGAAAUGGGACACCUUCUUCUUUCGGAACUGAAACAGGACCACUCUAAACCCUGAAGUGCAGAAACUCAUGUUCUGUCCUGUAUAAACAACUGUGGUACCUGAAGAAGUUCCCCUACUCAUAGAAACAAGGCUGAAGACGCUCAGCAGAGCAAGAGCAUCCCACAAGCAAAGUGGAGAUGUGUGCUCUGAUUAAAAGCUCAUCGAAGCUAAUGGCGUAACUCCAGUUGACUUUAUGAGCAUUCAGAUGAUUUCUGGUGAAAAUCAUCAGUUUUCCAUCAAAAUUGUUUGCUGAAGUUUCUUCCUGGUAACUUUAUUAAAGAAUUAAGAAAAUGAAUCAAGUACUCAGGAUCACAGUGUAAAUAAGACAACCAGUCUAUGGGAGUGGAAUGGCACACAAGGUAAAUGCUUUCAUUGUUCACAUUUGCUGCCAAAUUCCAAAUGGCAGUAGGCCUUGACAGCGCUGAUGGUCUCUCGUGCCUGGACUUGUAACAAAUCUUUUAACUUCAUCAGUUCUUCAGGAAAGAGAAAGCCUUUUUAGUUCUUUGAAAAUAUGAUUAGAAUGCACACAAGAGGUCCUCUGUAUGCUUAUAAAAGCU